This 273-nucleotide ribosomal RNA is filed under the name uncultured bacterium. RNAcentral describes it as "partial 16S ribosomal RNA". It matches the Rfam family "Bacterial small subunit ribosomal RNA", at positions 335 to 605 of the family's 1533-position model. The record is from RNAcentral.
GUCCUACGGGAGGCAGCAGUGGGGAAUUUUGGACAAUGGGCGCAAGCCUGAUCCAGCCAAGUCGCGUGAGGGAAUAAGGCCCUACGGGUCGUAAACCUCUUUUGCCGGGGAGCAAGGGCGGGGACGUGUCCCGGCCCGGAGAGUACCCGGAGAAAAAGCAUCGGCUAACUACGUGCCAGCAGCCGCGGUAAUAAGUAGGGGGCAAGCGUUAUCCGGAUUUACUGGGUGUAAAGGGAGCGUAGACGGCAGCACAAGUCUGGAGUGAAAUACCGG